GACUUUGAGCUCAAUGCCAUGACUGAGGAAGACCACGGGGUUUUCUCUCUUAGAGGGGAGGUGAGUAUAAUUGUCAUACAUAUCUAUACCAGAGGGAGACUGCACUGAAUAUUUGGAGAAACAAAAGGGUAAAUUGUGGCAGAUACUACCAGUCCUUAGCAAUAUUUCCAGUUCUCCUUUUUCACUCCUCUAGUCAGUAGGCCGUAGCUAGAUGACUGGUCCCGUAGCCCGGCUGUGUCUAUCAGGAGGCAAUGCAUGAUUUCCCAGCCCAAAGUACAUGAGAGAUGAUGGACCCAUUUCCCACAUUCUCCUCCUCUUCCACAGUGAACCCAGAGCUUUGAGUUGAGAUGGGGGUGCCAUAAGAUUGAAGUACUCUGAAAAACAGAGCUUAAAGGCUUUUAACAGGUGAAAGUGCGGUCCAAAUUCUUAAUUUGUUUUUGUUGUUGUUGUUGUUGUUGUUGUGGAGGGCAUCUAUCCAAAAGCUUUCAGGACACACAUGAACUUUACACGAGCAAGGAAAAAAAUGUGUGCUCAGAUACUGAGAUGUUAGUGUUUUUGAUAAUAUAGCCUGAUCUCAUACAUACAUUUAUCUUAGACCAUUCUAUGCUAAAUACAUACAUUCACACAGACAAACAUAUGUGCAUACAUAUCUAAUGGAUUAGUUAAAAGAAAAUACAUUUCAACUUUUAAACCCAGAAAAUGUAAGUAAAUAUUUAACUUAUCUCAAGUGAAGACUUUACACAUAAUGUCGUGAAAACAACACAAGUGAAAAAGUAGAUCUGACUACUUGCAAAUAACACUUUUGAACAUCAGAAAUAUCAACAACUUAAUGAAAAUUAAUGACAUGCUGGGGGAAAACAUUUUUGCAAUAGAGGGUUUAUGUCCUAAUAUAUAAGAGGCUCUUAAAAAUGAGUAUCUUAAAAUAUCAGCAUCACACACACACACACACACACACACACACACACACAGACAAAGAAUAUAAACAUAAUUCUUCCAAUUUAUAAAAACAGAAAUACAGACAGAUAUCUUCCAAAGCCAUCAGAAUUUGAACCAGUGAUGAGGAGCACAUUUGCUUUCCUGCCCAAUUAACAGUCAUAGAAGAUCACCUGAACUGCCCCUGGGGUGUGGAUAUGCACCCUGAAAAUAUUUGGCAUACCAGAGCAUAGUUGGAUGUGUAUAUACAUAAUUGUGAAAAUAAAUUGUUUUAGAUUUUAAUAUUUUUCCUUGUGUCUAACUUUCUUUAAGCACCAACAAUUUUUAAAAAUAUAAAAAUAUUAUAAAUAUUUGUGUGAGGCAAGAGGAAUAUUGUUGGGUCUUCUAGUUACAAACCAUAGGAUCUUAGAGAUAACAAUGAACAUUCCCAAAAGCUCCCAUUUAGGAAGUUUUUGGUUGAUGGCAUGACCCUUGAAGGGAUCUGACUUCCUGAGAGAGUGACUCAUAAAUAAUUACUCCUUUUUAUGAUACAAAUAUUUUUGAAGAACAGCUAAAGUCUUCAUUAAAAAAGCAUUAUGCUCCUAUGAGAUUUCCCCAUGCCUAAGAUUAAUAUCACAGUUGAGGAGACCUGAGUAUUUUUUGUUACCUUACAAUUGUACAUAAAUAAUUAUUUUAUGCAGUGCCAUAGGUUAAAUGCAUAUCAUGAAAUUCACUUUCCUCCCGAUUGCCAUUUAUGUCACUUAAUUCAAUGAAAGUCCACAAAAAUACAGUAUGACUCAGAAUAUUGGAGCUGUGGCUAAGCAAGAAAAGUUCAUUCAAAAUUGAUUUUCUUUCAGGAAUCCUUGAUAUUCUUCAUUCCAAUUGUUCACCUCUACUGUAGGGCUCAGUAAACACUUAAGGAAGUUGCCGUGCACUGCAGCCUGCCGGAGACAUGAAGGAAUGUACGGGAGGAUAAUCGCAACAUCAUCAACCCAAUUCUCCAAGUAAUUUGCCAUGGGACAGGCACACCCCAUGUGUUUGGGAAGACAAUGGGAAGGUUCUGUUUUCUGCUCCAAGACUGAUUCAACCAGUUGGAUCUGGAAGGGGAUAAAGGGCUGUGUGGCUGCUUGAUUUUCAUUGUCUAGUGGCAGCCAAAAUUGGAAAAGAGAGAAGUGCAGACUUUAAAGACAAGCAGCGACAGCUCAUCAGCAGUCUAACAACACGACAGAUGACAGGCCCAGAGGCACACCCAGGGCCGCCAGCCCAUCACCCUGUGCAGGAUGUCAAAGAGCAGCUGCAGCAA
This 2215-nucleotide long non-coding RNA is filed under the name Homo sapiens (human). RNAcentral describes it as "HSALNT0374082". Lineage: Eukaryota; Metazoa; Chordata; Mammalia; Primates; Hominidae. The record is from RNAcentral.